Molecule: non-coding RNA, 74 nt
Organism: Xyrichtys novacula (pearly razorfish)
Lineage: Eukaryota; Metazoa; Chordata; Actinopteri; Labriformes; Labridae
Source: the annotation of a GenBank genome assembly
ACAUGCACAUGCACACACACACACUGACUCUACAGUAAGUUUUGGUGGUGGUGUGUGUGUGUGUGUGUGUGUGU